Molecule: ribosomal RNA, 465 nt
Filed under: uncultured bacterium
Lineage: Bacteria
Description: partial 16S ribosomal RNA
Rfam family: Bacterial small subunit ribosomal RNA
Source: RNAcentral
CCUACGGGUGGCAGCAGUGGGGAAUAUUGCGCAAUGGGCGAAAGCCUGACGCAGCGACGCCGCGUGAGGGAUGAAGGCCUUCGGAUCGUAAACCUCUGUCAGCAGGGAAGAACGGUCACUGUGCUAAUCAGCAGUGAAUUGACGGUACCUGCAAAGGAAGCACCGGCUAACUCCGUGCCAGCAGCCGCGGUAAUACGGAGGGUGCGAGCGUUAAUCGGAAUUACUGGGCGUAAAGCGCUCGUAGGCGGUAUGUCAAGUCAAGUGUGAAAUCCCCGCGCUCAACUUGGGAACUGCCUUUGAAACUGGCAGACUGGAGUGUGUGAGAGGAGAGUGGAAUUCCAGGUGUAGGGGUGAAAUCCGUAGAUAUCUGGAGGAACAUCGGUGGCGAAGGCGACUAUCUGGCACAUAACUGACGCUGAGGAGCGAAAGCGUGGGUAGCAAACAGGAUUAGAUACCCCAGUAGUC